GGCGGAUUAAAUGAGGAGUUGAAGUCCGGAAGGAAAGGGGUAGAGAGAGAGAGAGAGAGCGGAGGAGAGGAAAGGGGAGGAAGGAAGAAGAGAAAGGGAGGCGCGGCUGCCGGCGUUGCCGGGGAUUUUACUUUUGUUUAUUUGUUUGUUGGGCGGCCUUAAACCACGUAAGGAGAGAGAGAUUAGUAGUUUAAGGGGGAGAGAAGAGAGAGAGGAGGGUUUCAGUUGUUUGUAUGGGGCAGGUUUCCUCGUCCUCCUCUUCCUGCUCCAUACCUCCUGCAUCUGCAACCACUGGAGAGAGAGAUCUGGAUGAGGGUCGGCGUUGCCCCACAGAUCUGAUAUCGGAGCUGCCCGAUGAGUGCCUCGCCUGCAUAUUUCAGAGCCUGGGCCCCGGUGACCGCAAGCGAUGCUCCCUGGUCUGUAAGCGGUGGCUCCGUGUAGAGGGCCAGAGUCGGCAGCGGCUCUCCCUUGAUGCCACCUCCCACCUGCUCACCGCGAUUCCGUCCCUCUUUGUGCGUUUUGACCGCGUCUCGAAGCUGGCACUCAAGUGUGAUCGCCGAAUGCUCAGCAUCAACGAUGAGGCUCUUGCCCUCGUGGCUGUCCACUGCCCGUCCCUAACCAAACUCAAGCUCAAGGCCUGCCGUGAGCUCACAGAUGCUGGCAUCGAGGCAUUCGCCAAGCACUGUCCCGCCCUCCGCAAGCUGUCUUGUGCCUCCUGCACCUUCGGGGCGCGUGGCAUGAAUUCUGUCCUCCGCUACUGCCCUGCCCUAGAGGAGCUAUCCAUCAAACGCCUUCGAGGCCUUGCUGAUGGCACUGCCCAGCCCAUUGGCCCACCCCCCGGCUGCUCCACCUCACUGCGCACGAUUUGCCUCAAGGAGCUCUACAACGGGCAGUGCUUUUCCCCGCUCAUUGCUGCAUCCAAAUCCCUCCGCAACCUCCGUCUUUACCGCUGCUCGGGCGAUUGGGACCGCCUCCUUGAGGCCAUCGCCGCCCAGGUCCAGGGGCUUGUUGAAGUGCACCUUGAGCGCCUCCAGGUCAGUGAUCGGGGCUUGCUGGCACUCGCCGGAUGCGCAGAUCUUGAGGUCCUGCACCUUGUGAAGACCCCCGAAUGCACCAAUGCUGGGCUGGCCGCUGUGGCUGACUGCUGCAGGAUGCUGCGCAAGCUGCACAUCGAUGGGUGGAAAACUAACCGAAUCGGGGACGAUGGCCUGGUGGCAGUGGCACGCAAGUGCAAGAACCUGCAGGAGCUGGUGCUGAUUGGGGUGAAUCCCACUUCUGCCAGCCUGAGUCUCCUUGCCACCAACUGCCUUGGCCUCGAGCGGCUGGCCCUGUGUGGCAGUGAGACCAUUGGGGAUGUAGAGCUCAGCUGCAUUGCGGCCAAGUGCGCAUCCCUUCGCAAGCUCUGUAUCAAGGGCUGCCCAGUCUCGGAUCAGGGUAUGGAGGCCCUGGCAGCAGGCUGCCCCAAUCUUGUGAAGGUGAAGGUGAAAAAGUGUAGGGGGGUGACCUCUGAGGGGGCAGAGUGGCUGAGGGCGAGCAGGGGGUCACUUGCUGUGAACCUUGACACUCAUGAUCCCCCUGAUGCUAGCACCAGUGAUUGUGUCCCCGAGCACUUGGAUCGCUCAGUGGCUGCUACUACUGCCCUCAACUCUCAUGCUCCUCUCGAUGCCCCUGUCACUACCAGCAGUGGUAGAUCUGCUCUUUCCAAGGCACGACUCGUUCUGCAUGCCGGCAAAAGUUUUAUGGCUUGCACUUUCAUGAAGUGGUCCAUUUCCCGUAGCUCACAAUGAAUUCUGGUAUUAAAAUUGGGGUUCGCUUCUUCAUUGUAUCUCAUUCACAACUGGUAUCAGUUACAUUGUUUUCUAAACUUUGUUGUGGUGAAGUUUAAACCAGUUCAGGGUCUUAAGUUUCAUUUCUUUUGAAAGAGAUCAUUCUUGUCAUGCUUAAAUUCAAAACAGAACAGAAUUUUCUUUUCUGUGGCUGUUGAGCUUUGCAUAUUUAUGUAUGUAUGUAUGUGUAUUGUCCUACUGGUAGUAGUUUUUCCUUUGAAAGAUGGACGUUUGAAUGAUAUGUUCCCAUUGUCAUUGACGAGGUGUGAUCAUUGUGGGUGUUUCUGGGACUCGAAUAAAUUUUUGACCUGAUUUUUAUGUGUGUGAGGAUGAUUGGAUUUGUGGAUUGCUAUAUUAAAACUCACUCUGGCAUGCGCUGAAUUUUUGUUUAGGAGCUGUUAGGGUUCUUCCAUUUUAUCAAAUCAAGAAAGGCUCCAUUUCAGCGAUGAGAUGUAACUCCUGUAAAAUGCAUGGCAGCAGCAGCAAAGCUUAACUAAGAUGGGUUGAAUUCAGAAUUGUUAUCGUAGAUGCGUAUGCUACAUGGUUCUCAUCCAUCAGGGGCUAUUAAUAGCAGUGUUGGUUCUCAUCCAUCAGGGACUAUUAAUAGCAGUGUUGGUUGACAACGUAUCCCGGUGCUGUGAGAUGAUUGUGUUGUGGCUAUCAAGGAGGAUGAAUCAAAGUAGAUGGUUCCAUUUCUUUCGGAUGCUUGCUCCUGCAGAGCCGUGGGGUUUCAAAGCGGCUGAAAGAGAAUCAAGGAUUACUCAUAAGAGUGAUUAAUGUGUAACAUGUUUUCUCUUUGAGAGGUUAGCUGCCAAUGCUUCAUGCAGGGGUCGUUUCCAUUACCUACCGGAAUCUCACACCUGAUCAGGGACUACAACUAGCAGUGUUGGUUGAUGACAAAUAGAUUGCGUCCUGGUGCCGUGAGCUGAUCAUGGUUGGCUAUGGGGGAGGAUGAAUCAAAUUAGAUGGUUCUAUUUCUUUUUGAUGCUUGCUGUUGUGGAGGCAUGGGGUUUCAAAAAAAUUGAAAGAGAAUCAAUGAUUCCUCGUGGAGUGAUGAAUGUGUAAAGUCUCCAUGUUUUCUCUCCAAGAGAUUAGUCUCAAUGCUUCACUUGGACUUUCCAUUACCUACCGGAAUCUCACAGGGACUACUACUAGCAGUGUUGGUUGACUACAAAUAUUACAUCCUGUUGCUGUGAGAUGUUUAUGCUUUGGCUAUUGAGGCCGACGAAUCAACUUAGAUGGUUCUAUGUUCUCUCAGAUACCUGCUCCUGUGGAAAAAUAGGUUUCAAAAAGAUUGAAGAGAAUUAAGGAUUCCUCAUAGCAUGACUAAUGUGUAAAUUCUCCGAUGUUUUCCCUGUAACUGGUUAGCUGCCAAUGCUUCAUGCAGGGAAAGGGCUGUUUCUAUUCCCUCACCUCAUCUGGGUUGAGGACAACAGUAAGUGACAUCUUCAGGUAUUGAUACAGUAGUGCACCAUCUUCUUUUGUUUUGAUUAAUCUUUUUUUUUCAUCUCUAAGGUGGAGAACUGAACCAAAGAAUUUGCCUUUCUUCGUCAUCAAUCAUGUACCAUCUUCUUUUGUUUUGAUUAAUCUGUUUUUUUCAUCUUUAAGGCGGAGAACUGAACCAAAAAUUGGCCUUUCUUCAUCAAUCAAAUCACUUUUUACGA
Non-coding RNA from Amborella trichopoda, 3490 nucleotides. The record is from RefSeq and is a predicted model, not a curated record. NCBI's taxonomy places the organism in Eukaryota, Viridiplantae, Streptophyta, Magnoliopsida, Amborellales, Amborellaceae.